This is an RNA transcript of Lotus japonicus, 2564 nucleotides long. RefSeq lists it as uncharacterized. The record is from RefSeq and is a predicted model, not a curated record. Lineage: Eukaryota; Viridiplantae; Streptophyta; Magnoliopsida; Fabales; Fabaceae. The transcript is spliced from 2 exons.
UUACAAAGAACCACAAAGAUAUGUUGCCGGUGAUGCAUAAGCAUACCUGUGGAAUUAACGCUCUCCAAUGAAGAAAUAGACCAAUUUCAAACUUGUAUUUAAUUGCCCAAUCUUAAUUAAUGAUUCGAGGUUGGUACAUGCAUGCAUACAUCCACAUCACAGUAGCAAUGUUAUUGACGUAAACCAGCUUUGAUACAUCAAAAUUGAUAUUAUGCUCCAUCACCGUAGCAACGUUCUUCCAACACCCAACAGCCAUGCCAAAAAUUUGUUAUGUGUCUCAAAAACUGCUAUAAAGUUUAUUUUAUUUAUAUUUUUUAGCAAUUUUUUCUUUUGAAUUUUAUCUAUAAAUUUCUCGAAUAUAAAAUUAUAUUAUAAUUUAUCUGUUACACUUAUUGUUUUAGUCUCGCUUCAUAUUUUCCAAAAUGUUUAUUGUCUUAUAAAAUUAGACAUUUUUUUUUCAUUUUUACUCUCAUUUUAUAAUCUUUCUCUCACUUAUCACUUUUUUUUUUGAUAAAUAUAUCACUUAUCACUCUCACUUUAUAAAAUGCUUGUUGUUUAAUUUAUUUGAUUGCUAUGCAGUUUCUCUGUUUUAGGACCUACAUUUUAUGGAUUUGAUUAUUUCACAUUUCUGGGUAGAGAUCACAUUUGAAAGGAAAAUGAUACAGCAGGUGCACACAAGCAGUUAAUAAAUCCAAUGAUACAAAUAGAGAACCAGUGAACUCAACAAAAUAAAAAAAUAAAGGUACCAGGUUGAAGAAAAUUAAACAAAUUCAGAGCUCCUGGAUCCUUUUCCUUUGUCCUUCCUUUGCUGUUUUGCUUUCAGUUUCAACACCCCAACCAUGCUCAAGAUGCACAUCAAAUUCACAAAUCUUUUACUCAACACAAAGUGUAUGCACUCAAAGGAUGAAGAUCUAACAGGUACAUACGGCGGGAAUCAUUGGUUCAAAUCCAAUAGUACGUAAGGUAAGGUAUAGGUUGAACUUAUUCGAUACCAGAAUCAAUGGUAUCGAAUAAGUAAUACUUCACCUAAGAUUUCAUCUUGUCUUGUGGAAGUUAUGUAGGCCAAGUGACAUUUGGGUUCUCCAUGAUCUGAAUCGAUUUCUUGGAAGGCGCUGAUAAGAAUGAUGCAACAAUGGGUUUUACCUUCUCAGUGGCUUUGAUUAUCACAAAAAAUAGCACUUGAAACAGAACAAUCAUGGCCAGCAAGAUUCUAAGAUCAACCCAUUUUGAGUGACUCAAGUCGACUUGCCUUUCAUUUCUCAGAAUCUCUUCACCACUAAUGUAAUUUGAUGAUGAGCCACCCCCACAAACUUCAUCAUUUCUAGAAAAUUUGAGUCCUUCAAAUUCUUUUUUGAACAUUCCUUGGUAAGCAUACCUAUGGAAAGCAACAUAGAACAAUGGGUAUCUCCAAAAUGGGUUAGGAAGAUCAUUUGGCAAUUUGAAGAAUUCUCCUCCCAAUAUCAUGAUUCCUUGGAUUCCAGAACCAGUUAUGAUACCUAUUAGAAAGUUUGGAACAAUACUUGCAACUAUCAUCAUAAGGCUCUCUACUAUCAUUAGACAAGAAAAUAGAACACAGAGAAAAUACAAAAAGUGCACAUAUCCUCUCUGAAGACCAGGAGGGUAAUAACUAAUAAGCUAUUGCUCCAGGAAUUAUUGUAACCAACAACAAGUAUGGGAUGGAUGAAAAAGUGUUCCCAAUAACAUAUGCAGUAACACCAUCAUGCCCAUGUAGUCUUUCACGUUCAAAUACCUGAAUCAAUAAUAGGAAACAAAAAAUUAAAUAAUAAUAAUAAUAAUAAUAAUAAUUGACUACAUGUAUUUGCAAAGUUGAGAAGAAAAAUGUUUGACACUUUGAAAUACCUUCAUGUCUUCCACAUAGGAAGGGAAUCCACCAAUGGUCAUCAUAGUUAUGAAUGUAGACACAAACAUGAGGAGUGAAAUUCUAUCCUGAAAUAACCAAAAGUGACUGCAGAAUUAGAAGACAUUAUCUAAAGUAAUAAUCAAUUGAAGUAGUGUAGAUUAUUAGAUGAGUCAUGCUGUAAUAUUUUCCACUGUUACCUUAAUUGAACCAUUUGUUGUACCAAGAUCAUAGAAGACAGUGGCUAAACUUGUAGUCAAUGCAAUAUAUACGGCAAGGCGUAACCAGUAAUAGCCUAGAUCGCGAAACAUAUUGACAGAUGAUCUUUUGGUAAGAACUAAGCAUUGAUUAAGGAAGCCAACAUGCUUUCUCCUCUUGUUUGUUGGAUUAGGGUCCUGAAAAUCCAUAAUAAUUUGAUGUUAAAAUUUCAUUAUUAACUUUGGAUCAUAUUUAGAUUUAGGUAUUUGCUAUAAGACCUUGUUAGCCAUAGAGGAUACCUUUUCAGAUAGUAUUGCUACUUCAUUUUGAACUUCUUGGUUCCAUUUAGAUGAUUUAUUGAUAAGUGUCAAAUCUACUUAAUUUUCAUAUCAUUCUUGGGCACUUAUUAGGGUUAGAAAUGUGAAAUAACUAUCAAAUUUACCCUCAAUUGUGAUGAUAUGGUUUACUAGAGGUCCUUGUAGAAUUUAAGUGUUAGUUAUCAAAUUUU